AUAACUGUUCUCUUUUCUUCCUGUUUAUUAUUGGGUUUUUUUCUGUAUGUAAAGCACUUUGGGGGUCACCUUUAUGUAGGGGUGCAGGAAGUGAGAAUGAGAGAGACAGCUGCAGUAUCCCUUUGCUCUGUGCGCCUCCUCAUACCGUGUGCUUUCCCCAUAAAGCCCUUUGAAGCCAUUUCUGUGUCUCAGCAGCACUAGCCUUGCUCACACACUCUUCUCAAAGGAGUUGGUUCUCAGAAGCUGCCUCGCUGAACGGCUGCCCGUUGUUUGUGUUGGGAUCGGGCAAGUUAGUUUCAGUGUUGGUGCUCGCUCUCGCCUCUCUUGAUUGAUAAGAUGAAGUGUGUGUGUGUGUGUGCGCGUUCUUGUCUGUGAGGAUGACGAUGUAAUUUCAGUGUUUAAUGCUCAUCCCCUCAGAGUCUGUGUGUUCUUGUCUCUUGACAGGUCUGUGAGGUUGAGAAGGUCUCCACAGUCUGGAGUCUGGUCUCUGAGAAGCUCAACAUACCUGUCAAUCAACAGGGACUCCUCUACAAAGGCAAGGCGCUGGCAGGUAGGCUGCACAGCACAGCACAGCACUCAGGAUUACGAGCAGAGCCUGCGCUUGUUGAGUCUGGAUGAUAUGGAGCAGCUGGCGACCCACAUGCUUCACCCUGAGGCUGUGGAGUGCAUGGAGCUGUCCCUCCUGGACUGAGGAAUACUGCUGCUGCCCGCUGCCUUCCCUCCUCGCCCCUCGCCCCUCUUGUUUCUUAGUGCAUCUGCCAGUGCUUCUCACCCACUGAGCAAGGCAUUGAGCAGUGCCAGAUCCUGUUUCACAAUACUGCUAUAUAUUUACUGACUAUUCUUUAAUUAGAACAUUGUAUAUGUUUGGUAAGAUAGACCACACGAUACACCCUUUCUGAGCACAUUUUCUACUUUUCUGUUUCCAAGGAGCCCAGUUUGGUGCAGGAGGAUUGUGGGUAAUGGAGUGUGUUUUUAUUGGUCUGCAGCCCCUGUAUCGGCUUCCAUUAGCAUUGCUGGUAGAGGAGUGACUGGUUCACUUUAAAGCCUUUUUCUUAAAUAAACGCAGACGUUUUGAAA
This is a long non-coding RNA of Polyodon spathula (Mississippi paddlefish), 1077 nucleotides long. RefSeq lists it as uncharacterized. The record is from RefSeq and is a predicted model, not a curated record. NCBI's taxonomy places the organism in Eukaryota, Metazoa, Chordata, Actinopteri, Acipenseriformes, Polyodontidae. The transcript is spliced from 2 exons.